Molecule: non-coding RNA, 74 nt
Organism: Conger conger (European conger)
Lineage: Eukaryota; Metazoa; Chordata; Actinopteri; Anguilliformes; Congridae
Source: the annotation of a RefSeq genome assembly
GGCCUCUGUGGCGCAAUGGACAGCGCAUUGGACUUCUAAUUCAAAGGUUGUGGGUUCGAGUCCCACCAGAGUCG